Molecule: long non-coding RNA, 391 nt
Filed under: Homo sapiens (human)
Lineage: Eukaryota; Metazoa; Chordata; Mammalia; Primates; Hominidae
Description: non-protein coding lnc-SLC30A4-8:1
Source: RNAcentral
GACAUAUAUAAACAAGUACAUUCCAGGUCACAUAGGAAGAAACCUGACUCAUCCAUAGUGGGCCUGCUGGCAUUGUGGGCAGAAUGGACACCAGGCAGAUUUCCAGCCCCUUCACCUAUGUUUCCAGAAGUCUUGGGGCGUUCUCUUCUAAAUGGCAGGAAGAAAGAAUAAAAGAGACACUGAUACAGGGCAAUCAUAGCCAGAAUUGCACAAGGAGUCACUGGCAUCCUGCAAAUUCACCUCAAGAGGAAUGUGUUAGAGCUCUCCAAAUGUGCAGGAUACACACACACACACACACACACACUUCAGGUGUUCUGAACACAUUAAUUGCCCCAUGUUGUGACCCCUUUCUAUAUUCUCCUUGUUGCAUGUAUAACUAGAGAGGCCUGCG